Molecule: small nuclear RNA, 106 nt
Filed under: Carlito syrichta (Philippine tarsier)
Lineage: Eukaryota; Metazoa; Chordata; Mammalia; Primates; Tarsiidae
Source: RNAcentral
GUGCUCACUUUGGCAACACAUAAACUAAAAUUGGAAUAAUAGAGAGAAAUUAGCAUGACCCCUGCGCAAAGAUGACACGUAGAUUCGUGAAGUGUCCCAUAUUUUU